RNAcentral lists this ribosomal RNA (513 nucleotides) under Variovorax sp. RNAcentral's name for it is "bacterial SSU rRNA". It matches the Rfam family "Bacterial small subunit ribosomal RNA", at positions 36 to 543 of the family's 1533-position model. The record is from RNAcentral. Lineage: Bacteria; Pseudomonadati; Pseudomonadota; Betaproteobacteria; Burkholderiales; Comamonadaceae.
CGUGCGGCAUCUUACACAUGCAAGUCGAACGGCAGCGCGGGAGCAAUCCUGGCGGCGAGUGGCGAACGGGUGAGUAAUACAUCGGAACGUGCCCAAUCGUGGGGGAUAACGCAGCGAAAGCUGUGCUAAUACCGCAUACGAUCUACGGAUGAAAGCAGGGGAUCGCAAGACCUUGCGCGAAUGGAGCGGCCGAUGGCAGAUUAGGUAGUUGGUGAGGUAAAGGCUCACCAAGCCUUCGAUCUGUAGCUGGUCUGAGAGGACGACCAGCCACACUGGGACUGAGACACGGCCCAGACUCCUACGGGAGGCAGCAGUGGGGAAUUUUGGACAAUGGGCGAAAGCCUGAUCCAGCCAUGCCGCGUGCAGGAUGAAGGCCUUCGGGUUGUAAACUGCUUUUGUACGGAACGAAACGGCCUUUUCUAAUAAAGAGGGCUAAUGACGGUACCGUAAGAAUAAGCACCGGCUAACUACGUGCCAGCAGCCCGCGGUAAUACGUAGGGUGCAAGCGUUAAU